RNAcentral lists this ribosomal RNA (253 nucleotides) under uncultured bacterium. RNAcentral describes it as "partial 16S ribosomal RNA". It matches the Rfam family "Bacterial small subunit ribosomal RNA", at positions 524 to 776 of the family's 1533-position model. The record is from RNAcentral.
UACGGAGGGGGCAAGCGUUGUUCGGAAUCAUUGGGCGUAAAGAGUAUGUAGGCGGCUAUUUAAGUCAGACGUGUAAGCCCACGGCUCAACCGUGGAAUUGCGUUUGAAACUAUUUAGCUUGAGUUCAGGAGAGGAAGGCGGAAUUCCCAGUGUAGCGGUGAAAUGCAUUGAUAUUGGGAAGAACACCAGUGGCGAAGGCGGCCUUCUGGUCUGAUACUGACGCUGAGAUACGAAAGCCAGGGGAGCGAACGGG